RNAcentral lists this ribosomal RNA (441 nucleotides) under uncultured bacterium. RNAcentral's name for it is "partial 16S ribosomal RNA". It matches the Rfam family "Bacterial small subunit ribosomal RNA", at positions 338 to 795 of the family's 1533-position model. The record is from RNAcentral.
CCUACGGGAGGCUGCAGUCGGGAAUAUUGCGCAAUGGAGGAAACUCUGACGCAGUGACGCCGCGUAUAGGAAGAAGGUUUUCGGAUUGUAAACUAUUGUCGUCAGGGAAGAUAAAAGACUGUACCUAAGGAGGAAGCCCCGGCCAACGAUGUGCCAGCAGCCGCGGGAAUACAUAGGGGGCAGGCGUUAUCCGGAAUUAUUGGGUGUAAAGGGUGCGGAGCCGGAAGAACAAGUUGGUUGUGAAAUCCCUCGGCUCAACUGAGGAACUGCUACCGAAACUAUGCUCCUUGAGUGUCGGAGAGGAAAGUGGAAUGCCUAGUGUAGCGGUGAAAUGCGUAGAUAUUAGGAGGAACACCAGUGGCGAAGGCGACUUUCUGGACGAUAACUGACGUUGAGGAACGAAAGUGUGGGGAGCAAACAGGAUUAGAUACCCGGGUAGUC